GCAUUAUCCGAAUGGGAUUUUCUAUCCGAAAUUUUGCUUACCAUUAGCACAAUUUCAAACCGGAUGGGUUUUCCAUGUAAAUGGUAAACAACCCUUAACACCCAUGUCCCACUAUGGGGGCAACAACGUAUGUUUGACAGACAUUCAUUUAAAACCAUGAAUUUAAAACCAUGGUCAGCUAUAACACUAUAUGUACUCCGUUGGUUUGCAGGACAUUUUUGUCUGCUGAAAUUCCUGCCCUGAUUGUAGAAAUCAAACACACUCGUUACAAUUAUCUAUUCCUUUCUUUACUUACAAAUACAAACUGAAUGUUUCUUCCUUCGCGCCCU
Non-coding RNA from Paramuricea clavata, 329 nucleotides. NCBI's taxonomy places the organism in Eukaryota, Metazoa, Cnidaria, Anthozoa, Malacalcyonacea, Plexauridae. The record is from the annotation of a GenBank genome assembly.